This 61-nucleotide microRNA precursor is filed under the name Pristionchus pacificus. RNAcentral's name for it is "mir-8364 microRNA precursor family". It matches the Rfam family "mir-8364 microRNA precursor family". The record is from Rfam by way of RNAcentral. Lineage: Eukaryota; Metazoa; Nematoda; Chromadorea; Rhabditida; Neodiplogasteridae.
UCUUCAUUUCACGUUCUCUCUUACCGGUCAGAAUUACGAGAGAGCACGCAAAAUGAAGAGA